Long non-coding RNA from Sitodiplosis mosellana (orange wheat blossom midge), 2631 nucleotides. RefSeq lists it as uncharacterized. Lineage: Eukaryota; Metazoa; Arthropoda; Insecta; Diptera; Cecidomyiidae. The transcript is spliced from 5 exons. The record is from RefSeq and is a predicted model, not a curated record.
GUUCAUCGUUAUUUGUUAUAACUUUUCUUAUCAGGAACGACAGUUGCUAACAAUAAAUUCCCUAAACUGUCCUAGCAAUAGCUAGUAAUGUAUUUGUCUCCAAAGACAACUGUUACUGAAAUAAAUGCCUGUCUUCCAUGCCAAGUACACUCACUACUGAUAGCCUGAUAGCUAGAUUCGUUUUGAACAUUUAAAAUACAACGAAAUACGGUCCAAUUUGAAAAAUGUGAUGGUUUACUCCACUCGUAUUUUGUUGCUAUUAUCGUGGAGUACGCCAAUAUCUUAAGUAAGCUGAAAAAUCAAUGCAACAUUCAAGACAAGUGGAGAUAAUACAGCUCCACUGGAUGUUCUGUCCAUGGAUGGCAUUGGUAGUCGUUUCGAAAAAUCCAGAUGAUUGAUGCAAUAAUUGACAAUGCAUAAAAGUAAAACGUAGAAGUUCACUUUCGCAUUCGUCUGCCAGUGCGUAUUUGUUAUUCUUACCAGAAAGUAAAAAAUACAGCGCAAUAAUAACAUAAUUGGGCGUUAAGAUGAAUCCGGUCACAAAUAAGGGUUGGUGGAAACCAAAUCAGCAAUUGGCUCUUCUAGCUGGAGUUGCCGUUCUUGGACUUGGCUAUUUGUAUUAUUAUCAGAAGCAAGAGAUCAAGAUUGGUGGUGAUGAACCAAAACCAAAACCAAAACCAUGAAUCACUCAGAUUACAAUAAAAAAAAACCAUGAGUAUAAAAAUCAAUCGAUAAUCAGUUUCAAAUAAAUAUCAUCAAAAUAUACUCAUUCAGCAAACUGUAGAAGUAUUACGAAUAAAAAAAAAAUUAAAAAAAAAUCACAAAAUGUUUUCUUUGUUUAUUUUACACGAAUUGUUGCGUUUUUAUUCGAUGAAACCAUAGCGGUGCAACGAUAAUACUACGCGCCCUAACUACGUUAUGCAAACUACAUGACGUAGAGCACUACGCGCCCUGGCACGUUUGUAUGGGCAGUGCACCGCUAUGGAUGAAAUGUAAAAAUGGCCAUUCAAUCGGCUCGUUAUACAAAGCUUAUAAGUGAUCCAAAUUUCCAUAUAUAUGUAGAUAUGGAUGCAAGCAUAUAUGCGCUUAAAAAUAGCAGGUAUAUACUCAAUAUAGCUGCGGACAUAUAUAUUUCCCCAAUUCAUAUUUGUGUUGCAAAGAAAUUUUUCAAUGACAUUUCUACAGAUGGCAUUGAGUUCGAAAAAUCCAAAUGGUUCUUGCGGUCAUACGACAAUUCAAAAAGUUAGAACGUAGAAUGUCUUCAAUUUCCCCUGCGAGGCCAGUGCGUACGUGCUAUUCUCAUUAAAACAAUACACAGCGCAAUUGAAGCAUAGUAAGCUAAUUGAUUAUUUCGAAAUUCUUAAUUAAUGUACAUUAUCUUGUCAUUGUCAAUUCACAUUAUUGGUGUUUGAGAUGAAUACGAUCAAUAAGCUUUGGUUUAAACCAUAUCAGCUGUUGCCUUAUGUGUUUGGUGUUGCUGUUCUUGGAGUUAUUGCCAAUUCUGCAUUUGAAAUUUUAAAUCCAAGUAAUGGGUAUCUAGAAAAGGAGAAGAAGAAGAAUGGUGAUGAUGAACUAAAAACAAACGAUGAAUCAACCUGGAAAAUGCAGUAACGCCCACGUUGAGCAAACGGAAUAGAUUUGUUACUUCAACAACUAUUGAUAUCCAUAAUACAUCUUCUAUAUGUCAUUUCAUUUGGAUUGCUAUCAUAAAUGUAGUAAAAAAACAUUCAUAUGUAGAAGAAACAUUCAUGUAACGCAAUUUAGUCAUUUUUAACGUUAAAAGAUGUAACAAUUGUUCCUUGGGGUAGUAAAAAAACAUGAAAUCGAUUGAUUAUUAUUAGUUGCAGAUAAAAAUAAUCAAAAUUCACUCAUUCAACAAACUGUUGAAGUAUUUAUUACGAAUAAAGAAAUUCAAAAAAAUCCCAAAAUGUUCUCUUUUUUUAUCAAAAGCUUCUACGUGAACAAAAUCAUAUGCGUUCCAGAACAGCUGUUAUAUAUAUUCAAUAUAGCUGUGAACAUAUACAUAUUUCGUCAAUUCAUAUUUCUGUUACGUAGAAAUUUCCCAUUAAAAUUUCUACAGAUGGCAUUGGUAGUCGGUUCCAUCCAGAUGAUUCAUGCGUGAAGUUAUACGACGAUUCAAAAAAUUCGAACGCAGAGCAUUUCAUUUCACUUUCCCCUGCGAGGCCAGUGCGUACGUGCAACUCUUACAAACACAGUACAAAAUACACAGCAAUUGUGUGAGUAGAUAUCUUUGAGCGUUAAGAUGAGUUUGGUCAGUAAAAUGUGGUUUGCACCUAUUGUGCUUGGUGUUGCUGUUCUUGGACUUAUCGGCGAUUCUGCUUUCGAAACUUAUUAUAACUCAAGUGCUUGGAAGAAGAAGAAUGAUGGUGAUGAACAAAAAACAAAACGAUGAAUCAACCUAGAAAAUUUAGUAAUGCCCACGUAGAGCCAACGGAAUGGAUUUUUUACUUCAACAACCACCUUCAAUAAGUCUUUUCAUAAGUAAAUUAGGAAAUAUCGAUUGAUUUGAAAUAAAAAUCAUGUUACCAGUAAAUAAAUAUUAUUAAAAUGAACCAUUCUGCAAAUUGUAAAAGUAUUAUGAAGUAAUAAAUUUACAAAUUUCACCAAAUA